GUGCAAUGGCAUAAGCCAGCUUGACUGCGAGCGUGACGGCGCGAGCAGGUGCGAAAGCAGGUCAUAGUGAUCCGGUGGUUCUGAAUGGAAGGGCCAUCGCUCAACGGAUAAAAGGUACUCCGGGGAUAACAGGCUGAUACCGCCCAAGAGUUCAUAUCGACGGCGGUGUUUGGCACCUCGAUGUCGGCUCAUCACAUCCUGGGGCUGAAGUAGGUCCCAAGGGUAUGGCUGUUCGCCAUUUAAAGUGGUACGCGAGCUGGGUUUAGAACGUCGUGAGACAGUUCGGUCCCUAUCUGCCGUGGGCGCUGGAGAACUGAGGGGGGCUGCUCCUAGUACGAGAGGACCGGAGUGGACGCAUCACUGGUGUUCGGGUUGUCAUGCCAAUGGCACUGCCCGGUAGCUAAAUGCGGAAGAGAUAAGUGCUGAAAGCAUCUAAGCACGAAACUUGCCCCGAGAUGAGUUCUCCCUGACUCCUUGAGAGUCCUGAAGGAACGUUGAAGACGACGACGUUGAUAGGCCGGGUGUGUAAGCGCAGCGAUGCGUUGAGCUAACCGGUACUAAUGAACCGUGAGGCUUAACCUUACAACGCCGAAGGUGUUU
This 600-nucleotide ribosomal RNA is filed under the name Escherichia coli. Its description in RNAcentral is "partial 23S ribosomal RNA". It matches the Rfam family "Bacterial large subunit ribosomal RNA", at positions 2349 to 2925 of the family's 2925-position model. The record is from RNAcentral. Lineage: Bacteria; Pseudomonadati; Pseudomonadota; Gammaproteobacteria; Enterobacterales; Enterobacteriaceae. RNAcentral also lists the same sequence under 2 other names.